Molecule: ribosomal RNA, 484 nt
Filed under: uncultured bacterium
Lineage: Bacteria
Description: partial 16S ribosomal RNA
Rfam family: Bacterial small subunit ribosomal RNA
Source: RNAcentral
AUUGAACGCUGGCGGCAGGCCUAACACAUGCAAGUCGAACGGCAGCAGGGAUCUUGGCACUGGAUUCAGCGUGGGAAAGGGGAGAAAAGCCUAGGAGUAUGCCUGGUGGUGGGGGGGAACGUCCGGCGAAAGGCGCAUAUACCGCAUACACGCUGUGCGGGAAAGUGGGGGAGCUUCUGACCUCACGCUCUCAGAUGAGCCUAGGUCGGAUUAGCUAGUUGGUGGGGUAAAGGCCUACCAAGGCGACGAUCCGUAGCUGGUCUGAGAGGAUGAGCAGUCACACUGGGACUGAGACACGGCCCAGACUCCUACGGGAGGCAGCAGUGGGGAAUAUUGGACAAUGGGCGAAAGCCUGAUCCAGCCAUGCCGCGUGUGUGAAGAAGGCCUUCGGAUUGUAAAGCACUUUUAGUUGGAAGGAAGUCCAUUAAGUUAAUACCGUCCUGUUUUGACGUUACCAACAGAAUAAGCACCGGCUAACUACGUG